AGAUACCCUGGUAGUUCACGCUGUAAACGAUGUCGACUUGGAGGUUGUUCCCUUGAGGAGUGGCUUCCGGAGCUAACGCGUUAAGUCGACCGCCUGGGGAGUACGGCCGCAAGGUUAAAACUCAAAUGAAUUGACGGGGGCCCGCACAAGCGGUGGAGCAUGUGGUUUAAUUCGAUGCAACGCGAAGAACCUUACCUACUCUUGACAUCCAGAGAACUUAGCAGAGAUGCUUUGGUGCCUUCGGGAACUCUGAGACAGGUGCUGCAUGGCUGUCGUCAGCUCGUGUUGUGAAAUGUUGGGUUAAGUCCCGCAACGAGCGCAACCCUUAUCCUUUGUUGCCAGCGAUUCGGUCGGGAACUCAAAGGAGACUGCCAGUGAUAAACUGGAGGAAGGUGGGGAUGACGUCAAGUCAUCAUGGCCCUUACGAGUAGGGCUACACACGUGCUACAAUGGCAUAUACAAAGAGAAGCGACCUCGCGAGAGCAAGCGGACCUCAUAAAGUAUGUCGUAGUCCGGAUUGGAGUCUGCAACUCGACUCCAUGAAGUCGGAAUCGCUAGUAAUCGUGGAUCAGAAUGCCACGGUGAAUACGUUCCCGGGCCUUGUACACACCGCCCGUCACACCAUGGGAGUGGGUUGCAAAAGAAGUAGGUAGCUUAACCUUCGGGAGGGCGCUUACCACUUUGUGAUUCAUGACUGGGGGAAGUCGAACAAGUAGCAUGCAC
Molecule: ribosomal RNA, 723 nt
Filed under: Klebsiella oxytoca
Lineage: Bacteria; Pseudomonadati; Pseudomonadota; Gammaproteobacteria; Enterobacterales; Enterobacteriaceae
Description: bacterial SSU rRNA
Rfam family: Bacterial small subunit ribosomal RNA
Source: RNAcentral